UAAACCUCUGCGAACCAAGUUUAU
This 24-nucleotide unclassified non-coding RNA is filed under the name Arabidopsis thaliana (thale cress). The record is from RNAcentral. Lineage: Eukaryota; Viridiplantae; Streptophyta; Magnoliopsida; Brassicales; Brassicaceae.